UCCCUGGUAGCCUAGCAGGUUAAGGGUCUGGUGUUGUCACUGCUGAGGCUCAGGUUCUAUUCCUGGCCUGGGAA
RNAcentral lists this transfer RNA (74 nucleotides) under Sus scrofa (pig). It matches the Rfam family "tRNA". From Rfam's summary of the family: Transfer RNA (tRNA) molecules are approximately 80 nucleotides in length. Their secondary structure includes four short double-helical elements and three loops (D, anti-codon, and T loops). The record is from Rfam by way of RNAcentral. Lineage: Eukaryota; Metazoa; Chordata; Mammalia; Artiodactyla; Suidae.